GACGAACGCUGGCGGCGUGCUUAACACAUGCAAGUCGAACGGAAAGGCCCUGCUUUUGUGGGGUGCUCGAUUGGCGAACGGGUGAGUAACACGUGAGUAACCUCCCCCUGACUUUGGGAUAACUUCAGGAAACUGGGGCUAAUACCGGAUAGGAUCUCCUGCUGCAUGGUGGGGGUUGGAAAGUUUCGGCGGUUGGGGAUGGACUCGCGGCUUAUCCGCUUGAUUGUGUGGUAGUGGCUUACCAAGGCUUUGACGGGUAGCCGGCCUGAGAGGGUGACCGGCCACAUUGGGACUGCGAUACGGCCCAGAAGCGAACGGGAGGCAGCAGUGGGGAAUAUUGCACAAUAGGCGGAAGCCUGAGGCAGAAACGCCGCGUGCGGGAUGACGGCCUUCGGGUUGUAAACCGCUGUCGCCUGUGACGAAGCGUUAGUGACGGUAAUGGGUAAAGAAGCACCGGCUAACUACGUG
This 468-nucleotide ribosomal RNA is filed under the name uncultured bacterium. RNAcentral describes it as "partial 16S ribosomal RNA". It matches the Rfam family "Bacterial small subunit ribosomal RNA", at positions 28 to 507 of the family's 1533-position model. The record is from RNAcentral.